UACGUAGGGCGCAAGCGUUAUCCGGAAUUAUUGGGCGUAAAGAGCUCGUAGGCGGUUUGUCGCGUCUGCCGUGAAAGUCCGGGGCUUAACUCCGGAUCUGCGGCGGGUACGGGCAGACUAGAGUGAUGUAGGGGAGACUGGAAUUCCUGGUGUAGCGGUGAAAUGCGCAGAUAUCAGGAGGAACACCGAUGGCGAAGGCAGGUCUCUGGGCAUUAACUGACGCUGAGGAGCGAAAGCAUGGGGAGCGAACAGG
This 253-nucleotide ribosomal RNA is filed under the name uncultured bacterium. RNAcentral's name for it is "partial 16S ribosomal RNA". It matches the Rfam family "Bacterial small subunit ribosomal RNA", at positions 524 to 776 of the family's 1533-position model. The record is from RNAcentral.